This is a non-coding RNA of Macrostomum lignano, 46 nucleotides long. Lineage: Eukaryota; Metazoa; Platyhelminthes; Macrostomidae. The record is from Rfam.
AAAACGGCCCUUUUGAGGGCCACCGUAAUUAAAAAAGUUAUCUUUA